CUUCAAUCCCAUUCUUUGAUCAGUAUUUAUGAGAAUAAACGGAUAUUCAUACAUCACUUGGUGAGAAGUAUGGCCUGUUAUAUCAUGAAAGAGAGUCAGAGGAAUGUCAUAGUGGAAUUGAAUGAGAGAUUCACCAAAAUACCUGUCUCGUUUGGAUGUGCAACUGAUUUAGAGUUUGUUCAUAUUCGGAAUUGUGUUAUAGUAGAAAUCUCAGAGGAUCUGUCUCCAAAUUGUCGAAAGUUGUCCACCUUAAUUAUAAAUAAAGUUUCCAUUAAUCAUGUUCCAGAGAGUUUUUUCAAAUAUAUGAAUAGUCUAUCAAUAUUGGAUCUAUCCUUUAAUGAAAGUCUAGUAUCUUUGCCAAACUCCAUCACUAAUUUGAGGUCACUUGUUUCUUUAAUGUUAAAAGGAUGUCGUGCGUUGAAACAUGUGCCCCCAUUGGGAGAACUACAAGCAUUGUCAAGAUUGGUCAUUUCAAAAACUUCCAUUGAGGAAGCACCACAAGGCUUAGAAAAAUUAAACAAUUUGAAAUGGCUUGAUCUAUCCAAAAAUGAAAGAUUGGAUUUGGAAUUAGGGUCUUUCUCAUCCUAUUUGACCAAAUUGCAAUACCUCGAUCUCCGAAACACUCGUGCUGUUAUUAAGGUUGAAGAUGUUCAAAGGAUGAAGAUACUGGAAUGUUUUCGAGGUGCCAUUGACUGCAAUCAAUUCAUGCAAAACAAUCUUGAUAUGAGUUUUGGGCUCAUCAAAACAUAUCAUCUCAUAUUAGGAAAUGUAUGUGGUAAAAGUGAGUGGAAGAGUUGUUCUAAUUUGACUCGUGGUGAUUUUAAAAAUAGGUGUAUAGAAUUCCAAGAUUGUGAUCGUUUCAGCCACAUACUACCUAAAGACCAUACUCUUCUGCUUAUAUACAAGAAUAAUCAUUGGGUUUGGUUAUGUGAUGUUCUUUCAUAUAGCACUUCUUCUUCUGUAAGGACAAUACAAAUUAGUUAUUGUGAUAAACUAGAGAGCUUGUUUUGUUUAUCUGGUUCUUGUUCCUUUUGCACCAAGAUUCACAAGCUGGAAAUUUUGUCUCUUUCACAAUUGAAAAGUUUAACUGUCAUCUGUAAAGACGUUGUUGAUGUUGGACAAUCUUUGUCACCGGUUGGCAUAUUCUCUUGCCUAAAAGAAAUUAACAUUUCUUUUUGCAAUUUGAUAGANNNNNNNNNNNNNNNNNNNNNNNNNNNNNNNNNNNNNNNNNNNNNNNNNNNNNNNNNNNNNNNNNNNNNNNNNNNNNNNNUGAAAGAGAUAUUUGCAGUGAGUAACAAUGAUGACAAUGACAAUUCCAUCAUUACACUUCCCAAGUUGACCAGAUUGGAGUUGAAAGAUUUACCAGAAUUGAAGAUUGUGUGCAAAGGGAUUAUACACUGUGAAUCUUUACCGGAAGUGGACAUCGGUUUCUGCCCAUGGUUAGAUAGGCGCUCAACAAUAGAAAGAUUUAAGAGUCCUUAUUUCUGAUUUAAGAAGUACACUUUUGAUGAAUUUGAAUAGACAAAUAUAUGAAACAAGUAACAUGAAUUAUCAGGUGUGAACGGUAGCGGUCAUAACAGAAGUGUUUGUGAAAGUGAGAUUAAUCAAUUGGUUCGUGAUUUAGAUUUUGAGAAAAAUGAUAUUGCGAAACAACUUCAAUGUUUGGAGUCUCGUAGAAAAAAGCGCAAGUUUGAAGUUGAUUUUUGGUUGGAAGAAUUACAAGAUAUCAAAGAAAGUGUGAGGCAUAUGAAUAACUUAAAUGAUACUCAUCAUGUAAGUGAAUUGAUCCAAAAGAUGAAACGACACAAGGAAGAGAAACCUCUCACUUUGUCAACUGAAUAUGUCGGCUGGAGAUUAGAUGAAAAUAUCAAGAAAGUGUUGAAACUUCUUGAUGAUGACAAAGUCUUUGUCAUUGGGAUAUAUGGAAUGGGAGGAGUAGGAAAAACUUUACUUGCAACUCUCGUGGAAAAUGAAGUCAAAAGGAAAACAACUUUCAAGGAUGUGUUUUGGGUCACUGUUUCUGACAUCACUAACAUCUCAAAAUUGCAAAAUGAUAUUGCAAAAAGAAUAGGUGUAAAGCUUGAUGAAGACGAUGAGAGAAUUAGAGCAUACCAUUUGUCUUCCGCAUUGGAGAAAAAAGAAAAAUCAGUUCUUAUUCUGGAUGAUGUUUGGAGAUACAUUGAUUUAGAAAAGGUGGGAAUUAUUCCAAAAGUGAAUGGCAUUAAAGUGAUUGUGACAUCUCGUUUAGAACAUCUAUGUCACCAGAUGGAUUGUUGGUCAUAUGCUAUAAUACAAAUGUUUCCUUUCAGUUUCCUUCCAGUAUUUCAAGAUGAUGAUGAAGUUGAUCAAGAUCUGGAAUUGUUUAAGCUAAAACUCGGACAUGAUGGAACACCCAAGACACUUCCACAUGAAAUAGAAAAGAUUGCAAGAUGUAUUGUAGAGAGAUUUCAUGGUUUACCUCUUGCAAUUAGUGUGAUGGCUAGAACAAUGAAAGGGAUUGAUGACAUUCAUCAAUGGAAACAUGCAUUGAAUCAACUUAAAAAAUUUGAAAUGGGACCAGAGGUGGAAGAAGAAGUCUUCAAGGUAUUGAAACGAAGCUAUGUUAAUUUGAUGGAUAAGGACUUGCAAAAUUGUUUUUUGUCUUGUGCAUUAUUAUCUAUUGAUCGUUUUGACGAGGAUGGAGGAAUGAUUGACAAACAAGAGUUGAUCAUGAAGCUAGUUGACAAUGGACAAAUAAAUAAGAAUAUUUGUUUGGAAGAAAUAUUUGAUGAAGGGAAUACCAUAUUGAAUAAGCUUGUUUCUCAUUCUUUGAUUCGUUCUGGAUAUUUUUGGGUAUACACACAUCCUUUGGUGAGAAGUAUGGCCUGUUAUACCAUGAAAGAGAGUCAGAGGAAUGUCAUAGUGGAAUUGAAUGAGAAAUUCACCAAAAUACCUCUCUCGUUUGGAUGUGCAACUGAUUUAGAGUUUGUUCAUAUUCGGAAUUGUGUUAUAGAAGAAAUCUCAGAGGAUCUGUCUCCAAAUUGUCGAAAGUUGUCCACCUUAAUUAUAAAUAAAGUUUCCAUUAAUCAUGUUCCAGAGAGUUUUUUCAAAUAUAUGAAUAGUCUAUCAAUAUUGGAUCUAUCCUUUAAUGAAAGUCUAGUAUCUUUGCCAAACUCCAUCACUAAUUUGAGGUCACUUGUUUCUUUAAUAGUAAAAGAAUGUGAUUCAUUGAAACAUGUGCCCCCAUUGGGAGAACUACAAGCAUUGUCAAGAUUGGUCAUUUCAGAAACUUCCAUUGAGGAAGCACCACAAGGCUUAGAAAAAUUAAACAAUUUGAAAUGGCUUGAUCUAUCCAGAAAUGAAAGGUUGGAUUUGGAAUUAGGGUCUUUCUCAUCCUAUUUGACCAAAUUGCAAUACCUCGAUCUCCGAAAAACUCGUGCUGUUAUUAAGGUUGAAGAUGUUCAAAGGAUGAAGAUACUGGAAUGUUUUGGAGGUGCCAUUGACUGCAAUCAAUUCAUGCAAAACAAUCUUGAUAUGAGUUUUGGGCUCACCAAAACAUAUCAUCUCAUAUUAGGAAAUGUAUGUGGUAAAAGUAAGUGUAGGAGUUUUAUUAAUUUGACUCCUGGUUCUGAAAAUAGGUGUAUAGAAUUCCAAGAUUGUGAUCUUUUCUGCCGCAUACUACCUAAAGACCAUACUCUUCUGCGUAUAUGCAGCUUAUGCAAGAAUAAUCGUAAUCCUUGGGAUUCUAUUCAACAAAUAAAUCAGAGUAUAAAUCAGAGUAUGUUCAAUCAGAAUUUCUAUUCAUUUAAAUAAGUUUUAAUUUGUUUUUACAUGUCGAAGUUACAAGUUGUAUUCCUUUUGGAGCCAGAAUAUGUAUUCAUUUUGUCCUUGAUAAUUUAUUUUUUCUUCAAUUUUUUUUAUGAACAUAAGAUAAGAAAAAGUGAAUUUAGGUGGCUUUUGUCAUGCACAUACACAAGAAGUAACCAUAAUCACUUAAAAUUUCACAUCAAUAUAGAACUUUGAAGGAUAUAUAUUCUAGUCUCUGAAUUUGAUCUUGAUUAACUCCUUUUAAACUUUUGUGAUUGUUUCACUUUUCUCUAAAAUAUUUUAUAGUUGAAAACAGAUUAAAUAUUUACAUUCUUGUAUAGAUAAAGAAACCAGAGUCAUAUGCUGCCUUUUGAAAUAUCCUCCUGCCUAGACAUAUACUUCCACCCUAAUCAAUGCAAUUUUUUAACUAUUUUAUUCCACCAAGAGCAGCAUUGUGUUUAUCAACAAGAUUUUAAUUCUCAACCUACAAUGAAUCCUAGCUGAAAUUUAAAUUCAACCUAACUUCUUCCAAUUUCUUGAAUAUUUAAAAGCAUACAUCCAUCUAAUGACUGUUUUAAUUUUUUAAUGACAACCGUAAUGCAAAAAAAUAACUGAAUAAAAUUCUCAUUUUUUUUAAACUAAAAGUAUCCUUCGCGCGUAACUACAGAGACUAAUGCCUAACUUAAGUCACUUUAACAUUAAUAUACCUGUGAUAAUAUAAUUGGGCCUCCUUGUGAAGCAUAUAAUCCCUCUUCUUUCGUCAUGUUCACAAUUUUUGUCGUAAAAUUUUGCAUGUAGAACUAAACAUUGAAAUAUAUAUAGAUAUUAAACAGGGAUAUAAGAUAGUAAAUACAUAAUUAUUGUAAAAAAAAAUAAAAAAUGAACAUACGCGCCGGUCGAGAUCGAAUCCAGGACCAAAUGAUUAAGUGACCUAAGUAUCUACCACUUAUGUCACACUAUGUUGGUAAAUUCUCAUUUAUCUAUUCGUAUCGAGUACGAGAAUUUUUUUAUAAGAAAACAACUUUACAUUUUUGAAAAAUCACACAUGAACAACAAUUUUAUAUAAGCAACUUUACAUUUUUGAAAUAUCACACUUGAGCAACAAUUUUAUAUAUACGUAAGAUAAUUAUACUUGAAUGAAAGAUAAACGGGGAACAAGCUGCACCGCUAUCCUUUUUGGAUGACAAAACCAACUCUGUUAAACUUAACACUACAUCUGAGACUUAUGAGACACCACAUUGCUAUGCAUUUUUUGGACUAUUUUCAAAAUAGCCACAGUCUCUGGUGCUAGAAAACCAAAAGUGUCAAACCUAAAAAUUAUAAACACAUGUUGAUUGUUAGAACACGCUAUUUCUUGUUUAACCACUUUACUUAAAACAACUUUAAAAACCGUCUAUCCUACUGUAAAAUCUCCUGUCGAAGUAUAUUUUCAUUUUCAUAAACACAUAGUUGAACGACACAAAUUAAAUACUAAAUUACCGAUUGUUAAAAAUUGACACAUCUUAAUUUAAUGGACAAUUCAUGUAAUUGUUAAAAACUAUCCAAUACUAAUUUGCCAAUUGUUAAAAAUUGCCACAUCUUAAGUUAUUCUUAAUUCUAAUAAAAAAAUUAAUAUAUGAGUAUAAAUAUACAGUUCUCGUAGAUGUUAUAAAUGAAUGGACAAACUUAUUAGGAAAUGGAUUCUCUCAAGUGUGAUUUACACUUGAGAGAAUAAAGUGUAAUCUAACACCAUCUAAAUUCAUUUUCUCUAAAUUUUUAUAUGUUUCUCUCUCUCUUGAUCAAUGGUAACAAACCACACUUUAUUCUCUCAAAUGUAAAUUACACUUGAGAGAAUCCAUUCCCAACUUAUUAACAUGGGUAAAACACAUAUGCCCUGCAUAAAUCACACAAAAAAUUAAAUUAUUGUAUUAAUAUAUGAGUAUAAAUAUAUGUCAUGUGAAAAUUAUGAAAGAAUGGGCAAGAUUAUUAAUAUAUUAAUAAAAAACAUAGAUUUAGUAAAAAUCAACAAAAUAAUUAGGUCCAUGUAUUAACAUAUGAUCUAGUAUAACCAGUGAAAUUAUAAAAAAAAUAAACAACUUUAUUAAUAUAUGAUUAAGAUAUUAAAAUGUGGAUUUAAUUUAAGUACACUAUCAAUGUAAAGUUAUUUUACACAUGCGUCCAAUAAUAUACCAACACAUCAUUGCAAAAAAACUUUAAAUGAUGUGGCAAUACAUCAUUGGAUGCAUGUGUAAAAAAAAAAUUACACUGACAGUGUACAUAAAUUAAACUCUAAAAAUAUAUGGCUCGUAGAUAUAACAAAACAAAAUUAUGUUCCCGGAUUAAUAUGAAAAUAACCUGUAAAAUUAUUACAAAAAAAUAGACAACUUAAUAUAUAUUAGUAAAAACACAAGUUUCGUGAUAUGUUAGUAAAAAUAUAGGUCUCACAACAAUCAUCAAAAUAAUUAGGUCAUCGUAUUAAGUAUGAGUAUAACCCGUGAAAUUGUAAAAAAAAUAGAAAAAAUUAUUUAUUUUUGUUACAAACAUCUUAAUUAAUAUCUAUAACAAUAAUAAAGGGAAAACAUUUCUUUUGCUGUAGCCUUUUUUUAAAAUUCCCAAAUUAUCCUUAUUGACACUCUAACUUCCAAAACCAACUCUCUUCUAAAACCAACUCUCUACUAACUUCCAAAAUUAACCAACUACUCUUCAUUUCUUCUUCAUAUUCAUACUACAAAAAAUUUGCCUUUUAGCGGCGGUUUUUUAGUGGCGGUUUAUCAAAACCCCCGCAGAAUACUGCAAAAUUGAGAUGCGCAUAAAUUUUUCUUUUAGUANNNNNNNNNNNNNNNNNNNNNNNNNNNNNNNNNNNNNNNNNNNNNNNNNNNNNNNNNNNNNNNNGUCGGUGUCACUCGAAACUCAGUAUUCCGCCGUCUCCGCCGUCGUCGCCGCUUCUCUGGCCUCAGUUAGUGAACUCACAACUUCCAGGUUCGAUUUCGUUAGAAAAGGAAACACAUCAGUGUUGUUCGAUUUCGUUAACCUCAAUGUCUAUUCAAUUUAUGAUUUCUAUUCGGUUUCUAUUUAUGAUUUCAUUAACAUCCAUUUUUCAUUUCAAUUUCAACUUAGGGUUUCUUACUUUUCUCUACUUAGGAUUUCCUUCUUCGUAUCAGUGAAUUGAUUUGUCAUUGAAAAGAUUGAAAUGUUGCAUGUGUGCAUCCUGUGUGCUUUUUGUAGGACUGGUUAGAUGAAUAAGUGCAUAUAGUGCUGGUUGAUUGAAGGUUGAUUGUUAGAGGAAGUGAGUAACAACAAGAAAGAAUCAUUUGAGCUAAGCAUUCUCACUUUUUUUUGAGUUUUGUCGAGUGCACAUAAACUGUUUGAUAAAAGUUCUUAAUGGUUGGUUUUUCUUAAAUUAUUAGGUAACUAUGAGGAAAAAAAUCACUAUUUUUUCCCCUUUUUGAUUUUUCCACUUUUUUUAACCGAGUGAGUUUCAUAUUUACUGCUUAAUUUUCUGUUAGUAAUUUGAGAUUAAUGUGUGGUACAUAAUUUCACUGUUUUGGCAUAGAGAAUUACAUUUNNNNNNNNNNNNNNNNNNNNNNNNAUUUGAGAUCUAAUUACACAUAGAGAAUUACUAAAAAUCAAAUCUAUUUGUGUAAUUUGAGAUUAAUGUGUAAUUCUCUAUGCCAAUAUACAAAUUAUGCCAAUAUAUUUGAGAUUAAUAUGUAAUUUGAGAUGUAAUUUGGCAUAGAGAAUUAUGUUUUGGCAUAGAAAAUUACACAAAGCAUAUAUAGUGCAAAAUAAACAAUUACACAAAUAUAUUUGAUUUUUAGUUUCUCUAUGUUGAAUAUAAAUNNNNNNNNNNNNNNNNNNNNNNNNNNNNNNNNNNNNNNNNNNNNNNNNNNNNNNNNNNNNNNUUCUUUCUACUCUUAUCCUUUUAGUUUUUGGAAUUUAAUGGAUUUAUGGAUUGAUCGAUGGAUUGUUACACUCCUAAAAGGGGUAGUUUAGCUGAUAAUUUAUUUGUGUUUCUAGUAUGAUUUGGUGUUUGGUCAGUGCAGAUGGAAUUGUAAUCUACGCCAAUGUGAUUUUAAAAUGGAGAAGCUGGUCUUAAGUUAUUUUCAAACUUUUAGCCUUGUAAUAGGUGUAUGCACAACUUUAACCUCAGGUAACAACCUCACAAUUUUGGGAUAUUCUUCUACUUGUUGAGAAGAUCUGCUUGUAAGUUGAGUUUUUGUACGUGGUAUUNNNNNNNNNNNNNNNNNNNNNNNNNNNNNNNNNNNNNNNNNNNNNNNNNUUGAAGUUCCAGAGAUUGAGUGAUGUUCUUUAUCAUACAAUAUCACAAUGUAUUGCACUUCCAACAUUAAUUGUAUAUCAAUUUUAAAAGGCAAUAGUGUGAGAUUUCUUUUUAACAAAGCUUAAUCUCAUUCAUUGGUGGCUUCUCCAUAAUCCUGCCUUUAUUAAUAACUUAUCUAACUCUAAUUGUCGUUUUUUACCUUUACAUUGCAGGCCACAACAUGCAACUCAGGUCUUUGACAUCAUUGAGGACUUUUACAUUGGAGACUUGGAGUAAUAGCUAUACUAUGUUUGGAUUUCCAUUGCAAACUUAAGUUUCGGUCCAAAAGUAUGUUUUCCUCAAAAAAAAAGAACUAUAAAUAUUUUGGCUUCAUUUGUACUCUUGCGGUUUCUAAGCGACGUUGGCUGGUUUGUAACAUUCAAGAAAUUUGUGAUUUUACAAUUCCAAUAUUCUAUUUCAGGUUGCCCUUCAUUUUUGCAAGUUAAUGGUGGUUCAUCAGAUUCUAAUAUCGAAGUUCAGAAUGAGAUUGUUCAUUGGCAUAAUAGGUAGUAAUAAUAAUAAUUGUUUUAGAAUUAAUUUGUGUAGUAAGUGUAGUAGAUGUUACAAUUAUUGUGCUGUUUUUUGGAUUGAAGUUUUUUAUCUUACUUGCAUCCUAUGUAGCAAUCUUCAAGGGAACCUUCUACGUUAUAUUUAUUUGUGUUCGUACAUGUUUAUGUUUCACUUUGUUUAGGAUGUUGUUACUUGAACUUAUAUUUCCUACCAUCUUUGAUUGAUCAAUUUUAAUGAUCUAAUUUGCAGGAAUUAUAAUCAAUGUGUCAUUUGAAAUGUGAGUGUGUCAUUAAUUUGAAGCAUUAAUGCUGAACUGAUAUUGGAAUGNNNNNNNNNNNNNNNNNNNNACUUCAAUUUCCCUGGGUGUUUAUUUGAAGUUAUUUUUGCUUUUUUUGGUGUGAAUAAAAUGAGUAUAUUGGUGAUAAAUCAUUUUCCUACUCUGUAGUUUUUAAACUUGAUUGCUCAUUUAGAUGUGAAGCCUUCAAAAGACCAUGAAUGCUAGAAGCAUGAGGCAGAACCAUAUAUGUUGUUAGGAUCAAGGAGGUGAUGGUAAGGCUAUAACUAUGUGUUGUACUUUUUCCACAGGAUCAAGGUCGAGGUGGGUGUUUAUUUGAAGUUAUUUUUGCUUUUUUGUGUGAAUAAAAUGAGUAUAUUGGUGAUAGAUCAUUUUCCUACUCUAUAGUUUUUAAACUUGAUUGCUCAUUUGGAUGUGCAGCCUUCAAAAGACCAUGAAUGCUAGAAGCAUGAGGCAGAACCAUAUAUGUUGUUAGGAUCAAGGAGGUGAGGGUAAGACUAUAAUUAACUAUGCGUUGUACUUUUUCCACAAGAUCAAGGUNNNNNNNNNNNNNNNNNNNNNNNNNNNNNNNNNNNNNNNNNNNNNNNNNNNNNNNNNNNNNAUGAGUUGCUUUUGCUCUCAAGUGGGUAAGAUUUUUUUUAAAGAGAAGCAAAGAUGGCUCUGAAGGUAGGCACUUUGAAAAUUGAGUUUUACAUCAUGGAUAUGGUCACUGUGACAGCUGCAGGCAUCAUCAGAGAGAGAAACUUGAAGGAGAAAGUGUAAUAUUACAAUGAAAUCUAGUGGUACUGAAUUAUCAAUUAUUUGGCAUGUGAUAUACAUCUAUAUAUUUACUAUUUUCAUUUUUUAUAUUAAUUUAGUAUAUAAUUUUUUUUUGGUACAUUAGUAUAUAAUAAUUUAUUUGGGUAAUUAUGAAUUUUUUAUGUUUAUUUGUUGUACAUUUUGUCCUACUGUGACUAUAUUUUAUGAAAGUUUGAGCAUUGUAAUAAUUUGAAUAAAAAAAACUGUGUUAAUUUAUUUACUCAUAUUUACUAUUUUGCGGGGGUUCUAAACUCCCGCAAAAUAACCUCCGCGAAUUAAACGUGAUACCAGCGGUUUCAAGAAACUGCCGCAAUUAAUCAUAAAACCNNNNNNNNAAUCAUAAAACCGCCACAACUAUUCUCUGGGAACCUAUACCGCGGCAGUUUGAAAAAAUCCCCAAAAUAGUUUGUGGAGGUUUGAAACUCCCGCUAGAUAGUCUCAAAACAUGUUUUCUAUUAAGAAUUUGAGUUUUAUAUUAUGAUGGCGACACAAUAAACAUAUUCAGGUUUGUCUUUGUAUUGGUUUAGUCUUUAUUUUCUUCAACAAGACAUGAAAUUGGUUAUAUAUUACAUAAAUUUCAAAACACUAAAUAGAGAGUAUGUGAUAAUUAAUAUGUUGGUACGCAUUGCUCCUAAGUAUACAAUCAUGGGCUGCUUUGGGAUGGUCUACCGUAUUCUAAUUGAAUAUAAGACUGAGCAUCCUAUAUAUUUCAUUUUUAUUCCUUUUCUCAAUGUAUUUUUUUUUAUCUUCG
RNAcentral lists this long non-coding RNA (10437 nucleotides) under Trifolium pratense (red clover). Its description in RNAcentral is "long non-coding RNA (TPRA_LNC003995)". Lineage: Eukaryota; Viridiplantae; Streptophyta; Magnoliopsida; Fabales; Fabaceae. The record is from RNAcentral.